This 1700-nucleotide ribosomal RNA is filed under the name marine metagenome. RNAcentral's name for it is "bacterial LSU rRNA". It matches the Rfam family "Bacterial large subunit ribosomal RNA", at positions 1144 to 2925 of the family's 2925-position model. The record is from RNAcentral.
UCUAAUUAAGUUGUCCUGCGGCGAAGAUGUAACGGGGCUCAAGCCAUGAGCCGAAGCUAGGGAUGCAAUUUAUUGCAUGGUAGCGGAGCGUUCUGUGAUAUAGAACGCUGCGUCUUUAGUAUCUUAGGAUAUUUUGGACGCAAUGUUCUGACUGUGAAGCCGGCGCGUAAGCGAUCCGGUGGAGUGAUCAGAAGUGAGAAUGUUGACAUGAGUAGCGACAAACAGGGUGAGAGACCCUGUCGCCGAAAGUCCAAGGGUUCCUGCUUAAAGCUAAUCUGAGCAGGGUAAGCCGACCCCUAAGGCGAGGCCGAAAGGCGUAGUCGAUGGGAACCAGUUUAAUAUUACUGGGCCAGGAGAUGGUGACGGAUCGAAAGCGUAGUGACUCCUUAUCGGAUUGAAGUUGCUGCCGGACGGUUCCUGGAAAUAGCCCUCCAUUAGAUCGUACCCUAAACCAACACAGGUGGACUGGUAGAGAAUACCAAGGCGCUUGAGAGAACUACAUUGAAGGAACUCGGCAAAAUGCCUCCGUAAGUUCGCGAGAAGGAGGCCCCAUCAGAAGGCAACUUUUGGUGGGGGGCACAGACCAGGGGGUGGCGACUGUUUACUAAAAACACAGGGCUCUGCGAAGUCGUAAGACGACGUAUAGGGUCUGACGCCUGCCCGGUGCUGGAAGGUUAAGAGGAGGUGUGCAAGCACUGAAUUGAAGCCCCAGUAAACGGCGGCCGUAACUAUAACGGUCCUAAGGUAGCGAAAUUCCUUGUCGGGUAAGUUCCGACCUGCACGAAUGGCGUAACGACUUCCCCGCUGUCUCCAACAUAGACUCAGUGAAAUUGAAUUGCCUGUCAAGAUGCAGGCUUCCCGCGGUUAGACGGAAAGACCCCGUGCACCUUUACUACAGCUUCACACUGGCAUUAGGUCAGACGUGUGCAGGAUAGGUGGUAGGCUUUGAAACUCGGACGCCAGUUCGGGUGGAGCCUCCCUUGAGAUACCACCCCUGUCUGUCUUGAUGUCUAACCGCGGUCCGUUAUCCGGAUCCGGGACCCUGUGUGGCGGGUAGUUUGACUGGGGCGGUCGCCUCCUAAAGAGUAACGGAGGCGCGCGAUGGUUGGCUCAGACCGGUCGGAAAUCGGUCGUCGAGUGCAAUGGCAUAAGCCAGCCUGACUGUGAGUCUGACAAGACGAGCAGAGACGAAAGUCGGUCAUAGUGAUCCGGUGGUCCCGAGUGGAAGGGCCAUCGCUCAACGGAUAAAAGGUACGCCGGGGAUAACAGGCUGAUACUGCCCAAGAGUCCAUAUCGACGGCAGUGUUUGGCACCUCGAUGUCGGCUCAUCUCAUCCUGGGGCUGGAGCAGGUCCCAAGGGUAUGGCUGUUCGCCAUUUAAAGAGGUACGUGAGCUGGGUUUAGAACGUCGUGAGACAGUUCGGUCCCUAUCUGCCGUGGGUGUAGGAGACUUGAUGGGAGUUGCCCCUAGUACGAGAGGACCGGGGUGAACGAUCCACUGGUGGAUCUGUUGUUGCGCCAGCAGCAGUGCAGAGUAGCUAUGAUCGGACAGGAUAACCGCUGAAGGCAUCUAAGCGGGAAGCCCCCCCAGAAACAAGGUCUCCCUUGAGGGCCGUGGAAGACCACCACGUCGAUAGGUCGGAGAUGUAAGUGCUGUAAAGCAUUCAGUUGACCGAUACUAAUUGCCCGAUAGGCUUGAUU